GCCUUCGUGGUGUAGUGGUCAGGACGCUCGGCGUUUAUAAGUUAUCAAGUCGAGAGGUCCGGGGUUCGAAUCCCAGCGAGGGUG
This 84-nucleotide transfer RNA is filed under the name Stegodyphus mimosarum. It matches the Rfam family "tRNA". From Rfam's summary of the family: Transfer RNA (tRNA) molecules are approximately 80 nucleotides in length. Their secondary structure includes four short double-helical elements and three loops (D, anti-codon, and T loops). Lineage: Eukaryota; Metazoa; Arthropoda; Arachnida; Araneae; Eresidae. The record is from Rfam by way of RNAcentral.